CCCUUGGGAGUCGGGCUCCGCGAAAGAGUCCCCCUCCCCUCCCUUCUCUUCCCCUGCCUUGCUGCCCUCCAGCUGAGGCCCUUGGAGGAAGCAGAUGUGGGCCCCUUCGGGCUCGGUUGGAGUGAAGCCAGAGGCCUGGGGGCGCUUCGGGGGGCUGGGGCUGGGGCUGCGGUUAGCCCGCCAGGCCCCUGGCCUUCUGCGCCUGCGUCCCCCCUAGAGAGAAGUCAGAGCAAAUUCCAUUCCCUUUGGAGCAGCGCCGCUAGAGGCUGUGGGCACAGCUGGUGCUCUGUGUAUUUGGUGUCAUGGAUAAGAAAGAACAUACGAUAUUUGUCUUUUGGGGACUGGCUGCUUUCACUAAUCAUAAUGUUUUUCAACUGGAUCCAUUUAGCUGCAAAGGACAAGACUUCAUUCUUUUUUAUGUUCUGUCAGAUGUAUCCGGAGACUGUCCUGUGCGAGAUGCAAGUCUCUGUCCAUGGAUAUUGGGCCUCUAUCAUCGUCCCAGAUACUACACCUCGUCCUAGCACCCCAGUGAUGGAACCAGAGGGAUCCUGCACUCUUCCCCAACCAUCCUCUUCCCCAACCACCUGCCGGACAAGGGACAGGAGCUUGUCAACCUGGCACCCCCGGGGAGAGAUGAUUCCUGCUCAUGUGCCUGGGGAAACAGGAAAAGCGCUUCACCACUUGGACCCACCACUUGGAUGGAGACCUUGGACUCCUGGCUCCCGCCUGGCCAGCAUCUGGCUGAUGUGGUUAUUGGGAAAGAGAACUCAUAAAUAAAGAAUUUCCCCCUCCA
Molecule: long non-coding RNA, 793 nt
Organism: Ochotona curzoniae (black-lipped pika)
Lineage: Eukaryota; Metazoa; Chordata; Mammalia; Lagomorpha; Ochotonidae
Exons: 4
Source: RefSeq, a predicted model, not a curated record